UACGUAGGGUGCGAGCGUUAAUCGGAAUUACUGGGCGUAAAGCGUGCGUAGGCGGUUCGCUAAGUCUGAUGUGAAAGCCCCGGGCUCAACCUGGGAACUGCAUUGGAAACUGACGAGCUUGAGUGUGGCAGAGGGGGGUGGAAUUCCACGUGUAGCAGUGAAAUGCGUAGAGAUGUGGAGGAACACCGAUGGCGAAGGCAGCCCCCUGGGCUAACACUGACGCUCAGGCACGAAAGCGUGGGGAGCAAACAGG
RNAcentral lists this ribosomal RNA (253 nucleotides) under uncultured bacterium. RNAcentral describes it as "partial 16S ribosomal RNA". It matches the Rfam family "Bacterial small subunit ribosomal RNA", at positions 524 to 776 of the family's 1533-position model. The record is from RNAcentral.